Molecule: ribosomal RNA, 451 nt
Filed under: uncultured bacterium
Lineage: Bacteria
Description: bacterial SSU rRNA
Rfam family: Bacterial small subunit ribosomal RNA
Source: RNAcentral
CAGCAGUGGGGAAUAUUGCACAAUGGGCGCAAGCCUGAUGCAGCCAUGCCGCGUGUAUGAAGAAGGCCUUCGGGCUGUAAAGUACUUUCAGCAGUGAGGAAGGUGGAUAUGUUAAUAGCAUAUUCAUUUGACGUUAGCUGCAGAAGAAGCACCGGCUAACUCCGUGCCAGCAGCCGCGGUAAUACGGAGGGUGCGAGCGUUAAUCGGAAUUACUGGGCGUAAAGCGCAUGCAGGUGGUUUGUUAAGUCAGAUGUGAAAGCCCGGGGCUCAACCUCGGAAUUGCAUUUGAAACUGGCAAACUAGAGUACUGUAGAGGGGGUAGAAUUUCAGGUGUAGCGGUGAAAUGCGUAGAGAUCUGAAGGAAUACCGGUGGCGAAGGCGGCCCCCUGGACAGAUACUGACACUCAGAUGCGAAAGCGUGGGGAGCAAACAGGAUUAGAUACCCUGGUAG